Molecule: long non-coding RNA, 1023 nt
Organism: Pseudopipra pipra
Lineage: Eukaryota; Metazoa; Chordata; Aves; Passeriformes; Pipridae
Exons: 3
Source: RefSeq, a predicted model, not a curated record
AUUGAUCCCUCAGACUUCGUUUGCUAAACUUACCAUCCAUCACCCCCCUCCCAGCCCCGCUCAGAUCCCCCCAGAGAGGAGCCUAAAUGGAAGCCACUGUCCUGUCUCUCAGGGCCAGGGUUCCAAAUGGUUUGUGACAGCCAAGGACAUGGAGAACUGGGCUUGAUCCACUCCCUUUGUGAUGGAUUGGCAGCAUUUACAGUUAUUUUCUCCGUGCUAGGAUGGCUCUUAGAAAGGGCAAGAGCAGCCUGGAGGAAGCUGUGCUCCCAAUCCCACCGAGUACAGCAGUGAUGUUGUCACUGCUGGUUGUCAUUUGAAUGUCACUGUGCCACGGGAAGAGACACUCCACGGAAAGGAUCUGAAUUCUCCUGAGCAGCAGCAUCUGAGACUUCACAUCACAUCUCGCUCCUCAUCCACCAAAGUGCUCCUGCAGGCAGCAAAUUGGCACUUUGCAAGUGAAUACAGGAGGUGAAAUGUGGAAGGUGUCAGCAAAAGGCACUUGAGUGAGCAAUUCAGAGCUGUGGGAUGUACCAGGGCAGAAAAUGGUACUAUCUAUGACACUCCAGUGUGCUUUAAAGCCCUCCAAUUAACUGCACUCUUUGAGGUUGGGCAGCUGACACGCUCACAAACCCCAGGAAUCCCAAAGCUCGAGCAUCACUUCCCGUGGGUGUUUCUAAGGGGGAGAAGACACUGAACACUUUCAUUUUCUGUGUAAAUAUUGGCACCCCUACAUGCCCCCGAAAGGAUUCUGAGAGCCCCUGAGUUUCUAAACACCAGGAGGGAGGAAAGUGCAGAGCACAGUCACCUGCAGAGCAAUAAGGAUCAGCCUCAGGGAUGCUGAACUUCACACCAAAGCCAGGUUUUAUUUGCCUGUUGACAGAGUGAAUGGCUUUGUUGGUCUUUCCAACCCAGCUCUGAGGCAGUAAAGGUCUCUCUAAUCGAGCAAAGGCAGAACAAAAACUGGUGGCUUAAAGCUGAAACUAAAGAAAUCCAGGUUGGAAGCAGGACAUGCUUUAUGGGGUU